RNAcentral lists this ribosomal RNA (253 nucleotides) under uncultured bacterium. RNAcentral describes it as "partial 16S ribosomal RNA". It matches the Rfam family "Bacterial small subunit ribosomal RNA", at positions 524 to 776 of the family's 1533-position model. The record is from RNAcentral.
UACAGAGGUCCCAAGCGUUGUUCGGAUUCAUUGGGCGUAAAGGGUGCGUAGGUGGCGUCGUAAGUCAGGUGUGAAAUCUCGGGGCUUAACUCCGAAACUGCAUUCGAUACUGCGGUGCUUGAGGACUGGGGAGGAGACUGGAAUUUACGGUGUAGCAGUGAAAUGCGUAGAGAUCAUGAGGAAGACCAGUGGCGAAGGCGGGUCUCUGGACAGUUCCUGACACUGAGGCACGAAGGCCAGGGGAGCAAACGGG